ACCGAACCGACUUACGUUGAAAAGUGAGCGGAUGAACUGAGGGUAGCGGAGAAAUUCCAAUCGAACCUGGAGAUAGCUGGUUCUCUCCGAAAUAGCUUUAGGGCUAGCCUCAAGUGAUGAUUAUUGGAGGUAGAGCACUGUUUGGACGAGGGGCCCCUCUCGGGUUACCGAAUUCAGACAAACUCCGAAUGCCAAUUAAUUUAACUUGGGAGUCAGAACAUGGGUGAUAAGGUCCGUGUUCGAAAGGGAAACAGCCCAGACCACCAGCUAAGGUCCCAAAAUAUAUGUUAAGUGGAAAAGGAUGUGGCGUUGCCCAGACAACUAGGAUGUUGGCUUAGAAGCAGCCAUCAUUUAAAGAGUGCGUAAUAGCUCACUAGUCGAGUGACACUGCGCCGAAAAUGUACCGGGGCUAAACAUAUUACCGAAGCUGUGGAUUGUCCUUUGGACAAUGGUAGGAGAGCGUUCUAAGGGCGUUGAAGCAUGAUCGUAAGGACAUGUGGAGCGCUUAGAAGUGAGAAUGCCGGUGUGAGUAGCGAAAGACGGGUGAGAAUCCCGUCCACCGAUUGACUAAGGUUUCCAGAGGAAGGCUCGUCCGCUCUGGGUUAGUCGGGUCCUAAGCUGAGGCCGACAGGCGUAGGCGAUGGAUAACAGGUUGAUAUUCCUGUACCACCUAUAAUCGUUUUAAUCGAUGGGGGGACGCAGUAGGAUAGGCGAAGCGUGCGAUUGGAUUGCACGUCUAAGCAGUAAGGCUGAGUAUUAGGCAAAUCCGGUACUCAUUAAGGCUGAGCUGUGAUGGGGAGAAGACAUUGUGUCUUCGAGUCGUUGAUUUCACACUGCCGAGAAAAGCCUCUAGAUAGAAAAUAGGUGCCCGUACCGCAAACCGACACAGGUAGUCAAGAUGAGAAUUCUAAGGUGAGCGAGCGAACUCUCGUUAAGGAACUCGGCAAAAUGACCCCGUAACUUCGGGAGAAGGGGUGCUCUUUAGGGUUAACGCCCAGAAGAGCCGCAGUGAAUAGGCCCAAGCGACUGUUUAUCAAAAACACAGGUCUCUGCUAAACCGUAAGGUGAUGUAUAGGGGCUGACGCCUGCCCGGUGCUGGAAGGUUAAGAGGAGUGGUUAGCUUCUGCGAAGCUACGAAUCGAAGCCCCAGUAAACGGCGGCCGUAACUAUAACGGUCCUAAGGUAGCGAAAUUCCUUGUCGGGUAAGUUCCGACCCGCACGAAAGGCGUAACGAUUUGGGCACUGUCUCAACGAGAGACUCGGUGAAAUCAUAGUACCUGUGAAGAUGCAGGUUACCCGCGACAGGACGGAAAGACCCCGUGGAGCUUUACUGUAGCCUGAUAUUGAAAUUCGGCACAGCUUGUACAGGAUAGGUAGGAGCCUUUGAAACGUGAGCGCUAGCUUACGUGGAGGCGCUGGUGGGAUACUACCCUAGCUGUGUUGGCUUUCUAACCCGCACCACUUAUCGUGGUGGGAGACAGUGUCAGGCGGGCAGUUUGACUGGGGCGGUCGCCUCCUAAAAGGUAACGGAGGCGCUCAAAGGUUCCCUCAGAAUGGUUGGAAAUCAUUCAUAGAGUGUAAAGGCAUAAGGGAGCUUGACUGCGAGACCUACAAGUCGAGCAGGGUCGAAAGACGGACUUAGUGAUCCGGUGGUUCCGCAUGGAAGGGCCAUCGCUCAACGGAUAAAAGCUACCCCGGGGAUAACAGGCUUAUCUCCCCCAAGAGUUCACAUCGACGGGGAGGUUUGGCACCUCGAUGUCGGCUCAUCGCAUCCUGGGGCUGUAGUCGGUCCCAAGGGUUGGGCUGUUCGCCCAUUAAAGCGGUACGCGAGCUGGGUUCAGAACGUCGUGAGACAGUUCGGUCCCUAUCCGUCGUGGGCGUAGGAAAUUUGAGAGGAGCUGUCCUUAGUACGAGAGGACCGGGAUGGACAUACCUCUGGUGUACCAGUUGUCGUGCCAACGGCAUAGCUGGGUAGCUAUGUGUGGACGGGAUAAGUGCUGAAAGCAUCUAAGCAUGAAGCCCCCCUCAAGAUGAGAUUUCCCAACUUCGGUUAUAAGAUCCCUCAAAGAUGAUGAGGUUAAUAGGUUCGAGGUGGAAGCAUGGUGACAUGUGGAGCUGACGAAUACUAAUCGAUCGAAGACUUAAUCAA
Molecule: ribosomal RNA, 2149 nt
Filed under: Staphylococcus aureus 23237
Lineage: Bacteria; Bacillati; Bacillota; Bacilli; Caryophanales; Staphylococcaceae
Description: bacterial LSU rRNA
Rfam family: Bacterial large subunit ribosomal RNA
Source: RNAcentral